UAUGGUUUGGGGAGGAAGCUCGAUUUUUGCCAUUAUUCCUUGUGAUAAAAAUAAAGUUUGAUUCUAGCUUUUUCAUUAGCUUUUUAUAUUAAUUAUAUGUAAAUUUUUUAAUUAUUUUAUUUUCAGUAAUUUGAUUUUUAUUAAUAUUUAUUUAUUGUGAGGAAUUUAAUUAAUAUUUGAUUAAUUUUGUGCCAGCAUUCGCGGUUAAACAAUUAAAUUAUGUUAAUGUUUUUGUAUUUAACAAUUUUAUUAUUUUGAUUUUAUGUAGAUUUAUUUAGGUGGAAUUUGUAAGUUUAUUUUUAUUAUAAUUUUUUAUUGUUUUAAGUUUUAUAAUAAGACUAGGAUUAGAUACCCUAUUAUUUUUAAUCUAAUUAUUUUCAGAAUAUUAAUAGUUAUGUUCUAUAAAACUCAAAGAAUUUGGCGGUAAUUUAACUUUAUAGAGGAGCCUGUAAUUUAAUUGAUGAACCACAAUAUUUUCUACCAAAUAUUUAUUUGUAUACCGCUAUACUUUGAAGUGUUUUAUUGAGAAUUAUUUUUUAUAAUCUUUUGAUAUUAUAUUAGGUCAAGGUGCAGUUUUUAUUUGGUAAUUAUGUGCUACUUUUAUUUUAUAUAAAUUGGAUGUUUUUUUUUAAAAAUCUCUUGAAAUUGGAUUUGUAAGUAAUUUGAGUUAAUUAACUUUUUUGAAUUCAGCUCUAGAUUAUGUACAUAUCGCCCGUCACUCCCAAUGAUAUGGGAUAAGUCGUAACAAAGUAGUUGUACCGGAAGGUGUAGCUAGAAUGAU
RNAcentral lists this non-coding RNA (781 nucleotides) under Bothrogonia tibetana. Lineage: Eukaryota; Metazoa; Arthropoda; Insecta; Hemiptera; Cicadellidae. The record is from RNAcentral.